Molecule: ribosomal RNA, 453 nt
Filed under: Triticum aestivum (bread wheat)
Lineage: Eukaryota; Viridiplantae; Streptophyta; Magnoliopsida; Poales; Poaceae
Description: partial small subunit ribosomal RNA
Source: RNAcentral
AUGAAAAUAUUGGUCUUCGACACCCGGAGGAUGGAGUUCUCCAUUGUCGACCUCCCAUCCGAGGCGAAACAUGCAUCCAGUAAUGAUAUAACUAUGAUCGAAGCAGGAGAAGGCAAGCCUGGGAUGCUUAUCCGUGGAUAUGACAUAUUUGGUCGCAUUUAUACUAUUUGGAGAAACAAUGGUGGGAUUUCCAGCCAGUGGUGGAAGGAGAAGGUAAUCUCACCCUCAUUGGGCUGUGAGUACAUAGAGAGCGGUUCAAUGGGGAAGUACUUGGUCCUGAAUCACUUGGGAGACUCAUCACUCGAGCCAGGCUUAUACAUGUUGGACAUCAAAACAUUAGAACUUGAGAGGGUGUGUGCUUCGAUAGUGCAAGGCUUCGCAUAUAGCAACUGCCCACCAUCGUUGUCGUCGCCGACAAUAUCAAGCGGUAUUGAGGAGGAGGUGCUGGAAUAA